RNAcentral lists this ribosomal RNA (506 nucleotides) under uncultured bacterium. RNAcentral's name for it is "partial 16S ribosomal RNA". It matches the Rfam family "Bacterial small subunit ribosomal RNA", at positions 30 to 523 of the family's 1533-position model. The record is from RNAcentral.
AUUGAACGCUGGCGGCAGGCCUAACACAUGCAAGUCGAGCGGCAGCGGAAAGUAGCUUGCUACUUUGCCGGCGAGCGGCGGACGGGUGAGUAAUGUCUGGGAAACUGCCUGAUGGAGGGGGAUAACUACUGGAAACGGUAGCUAAUACCGCAUAACGUCGCAAGACCAAAGAGGGGGACCUUCGGGCCUCUUGCCAUCAGAUGUGCCCAGAUGGGAUUAGCUAGUAGGUGGGGUAACGGCUCACCUAGGCGACGAUCCCUAGCUGGUCUGAGAGGAGGACCAGCCACACUGGAACUGAGACACGGUCCAGACUCCUACGGGAGGCAGCAGUGGGGAAUAUUGAACAAUGGGCGCAAGCCUGAUGCAGCCAUGCCGCGUGUAUGAAGAAGGCCUUCGGGUUGUAGAGUACUUUCAGCGGGGAGGAAGGUGUUGAGGUUAAUAACCUCAGCAAUUGACGUUACCCGCAGAAGAAGCACCGGCUAACUCCGUGCCAGCCGCCGCCGUAA